RNAcentral lists this small RNA (209 nucleotides) under Streptococcus pyogenes. The record is from RNAcentral. Lineage: Bacteria; Bacillati; Bacillota; Bacilli; Lactobacillales; Streptococcaceae.
ACAUUGGCUUGGCUAUUGGCUGGUAAAGGUACCUUACCGUCAACUAGAUCAAGGUUACUAAAUGCCUAAAGAAGUAUAAGAUAACACACGAAAGACAGCAAUACAAAGCUUUAGAGUUCUGUGUCAUCUUACUGCUUUGACAGGUUUUUAGCUAACCUUUUUCUGAACUAAGCCAUUGUUUUUAUGGAUAGAAUUGAAAGCGCUUAACU